This 305-nucleotide ribosomal RNA is filed under the name uncultured bacterium. RNAcentral describes it as "partial 16S ribosomal RNA". It matches the Rfam family "Bacterial small subunit ribosomal RNA", at positions 508 to 807 of the family's 1533-position model. The record is from RNAcentral.
ACAGCAGUAGCCGCGGUAAUACAGAGGGUGCAAGCGUUAAUCGGAAUUACUGGGCGUAAAGCGCACGCAGGCGGUUUGUUAAGUCAGAUGUGAAAUCCCCGAGCUUAACUUGGGAACUGCAUUUGAAACUGGCAAGCUAGAGUCUUGUAGAGGGGGAUAGAAUUCCAGGUGUAGCGGUGAAAUGCGUAGAGAUCUGGAGGAAUACCGGUGGCGAAGGCGGCCCCCUGGACAAAGACUGACGCUCAGGUGCGAAAGCGUGGGGAGCAAACAGGAUUAGAUACCCCUGUAGUCCCUGUCUCUUAUAC